Molecule: unclassified non-coding RNA, 351 nt
Filed under: soil metagenome
Description: partial contains 5.8S ribosomal RNA, internal transcribed spacer 2, and large subunit ribosomal RNA
Rfam family: 5.8S ribosomal RNA (bases 1-122)
Source: RNAcentral
GAUGAAGAACGCAGCGAAAUGCGAUACUUGGUGUGAAUUGCAGAAUCCCGUGAACCAUCGAGUUUUUGAACGCAAGUUGCGCCCGAAGCCGUUAGGCCGAGGGCACGCCUGUCCGAGCGUCAUUUCACCCCUCGAGCCGCUUUUAGUGGAUCGGUGUUGGGGCACUACGGUAAAACGUAGGCCCUGAAAUGAAGUGGCGGUCCCGCCGCGGUGCCCCCAUGCGUAGUAACGUUUAGUCUCGCAUCGGGUCCCGGCGGAGGCCUGCCGUCAAGCCUAUUUAUUCUCAGAAUAGUUUGACCUCGGAUCAGGUAGGGUUACCCGCUGAACUUAAGCAUAUCAAUAAGCGGAGGA